This 745-nucleotide ribosomal RNA is filed under the name uncultured bacterium. RNAcentral's name for it is "bacterial SSU rRNA". It matches the Rfam family "Bacterial small subunit ribosomal RNA", at positions 33 to 773 of the family's 1533-position model. The record is from RNAcentral.
ACGCUGGCGGCAGGCCUAACACAUGCAAGUCGAGCGGUAGAGAGAAGCUUGCUUCUCUUGAGAGCGGCGGACGGGUGAGUAAUGCCUGGGAAUCUGCCUGGUAGUGGGGGAUAACGCCCGGAAACGGACGCUAAUACCGCAUACGUCCUACGGGAGAAAGCAGGGGACCUUCGGGCCUUGCGCUAUCAGAUGAGCCUAGGUCGGAUUAGCUAGUUGGUGAGGUAAUGGCUCACCAAGGCGACGAUCCGUAACUGGUCUGAGAGGAUGAUCAGUCACACUGGAACUGAGACACGGUCCAGACUCCUACGGGAGGCAGCAGUGGGGAAUAUUGGACAAUGGGCGAAAGCCUGAUCCAGCCAUGCCGCGUGUGUGAAGAAGGUCUUCGGAUUGUAAAGCACUUUAAGUUGGGAGGAAGGGCAGUAAAUUAAUACUUUGCUGUUUUGACGUUACCGACAGAAUAAGCACCGGCUAACUCUGUGCCAGCAGCCGCGGUAAUACAGAGGGUGCAAGCGUUAAUCGGAAUUACUGGGCGUAAAGCGCGCGUAGGUGGUUCGUUAAGUUGGAUGUGAAAUCCCCGGGCUCAACCUGGGAACUGCAUUCAAAACUGUCGAGCUAGAGUAUGGUAGAGGGUGGUGGAAUUUCCUGUGUAGCGGUGAAAUGCGUAGAUAUAGGAAGGAACACCAGUGGCGAAGGCGACCACCUGGACUGAUACUGACACUGAGGUGCGAAAGCGUGGGGAGCAAAC